GUGGGGCCUGGCACCCAGUCCUGCCUGGCAGAGCCUGGAGAGAAGUGAGCCGUGGUUGGUGGAGGAGUUGCUGCAGCCCGGCGCGUUCUCAGCCCGGCUCUUUGUCUGCCGCUUUGUGAUGGGCCGCUGGCCUAGAAAUGGCCUCAAAUGGAAGCUGCGACCGGAUCCUGGUGGAGGUUUUGGAGCUAGGCUAGAGAUGAGGAGUCCAG
Molecule: long non-coding RNA, 209 nt
Filed under: Rhinopithecus roxellana (golden snub-nosed monkey)
Lineage: Eukaryota; Metazoa; Chordata; Mammalia; Primates; Cercopithecidae
Description: lncRNA (ENSRROG00000045977.1)
Source: RNAcentral